CGGGUGAGUAAUGUAUGGGGAUCUGCCUGAUGGCGGGGGAUAACUACUGGAAACGGUAGCUAUACCGCAUAAUGUCUGCGGACCAAAGCGGGGGACCUCCGGGCCUCGCGCCAUCAGAUGAACCCAUAUGGGAUUAGCUUGUAGGUAAGGUAACGGCUUACCUAGGCGACGAUCCCUAGCUGGUCUGAGAGGAUGAUCAGCCACACUGGGACUGAGACACGGCCCAG
Molecule: ribosomal RNA, 227 nt
Filed under: uncultured bacterium
Lineage: Bacteria
Description: partial 16S ribosomal RNA
Rfam family: Bacterial small subunit ribosomal RNA
Source: RNAcentral